RNAcentral lists this ribosomal RNA (472 nucleotides) under uncultured bacterium. RNAcentral describes it as "partial 16S ribosomal RNA". It matches the Rfam family "Bacterial small subunit ribosomal RNA", at positions 28 to 507 of the family's 1533-position model. The record is from RNAcentral.
GACGAACGCUGGCGGCGUGCUUAACACAUGCAAGUCGAACGCUGAAGCUUGGUGCUUGCACUGGGUGGAUGAGUGGCGAACGGGUGAGUAAUACGUGAGUAACCUGCCCUUGACUCUGGGAUAAGCCUGGGAAACUGGGUCUAAUACUGGAUACGACAUGUCACCGCAUGGUGGUGUGUGGAAAGGGUUUUACUGGUUUUGGAUGGGCUCACGGCCUAUCAGCUUGUUGGUGGGGUAAUGGCUCACCAAGGCGACGACGGGUAGCCGGCCUGAGAGGGUGACCGGCCACACUGGGACUGAGACACGGCCCAGACUCCUACGGGAGGCAGCAGUGGGGAAUAUUGCACAAUGGGCGGAAGCCUGAUGCAGCGACGCCGCGUGAGGGAUGACGGCCUUCGGGUUGUAAACCUCUUUCAGCAAGGAAGAAGCGAAAGUGACGGUACGUGCAGAAGAAGCGCCGGCUAACUACGUG